This 1020-nucleotide ribosomal RNA is filed under the name Staphylococcus pseudintermedius. Its description in RNAcentral is "bacterial SSU rRNA". It matches the Rfam family "Bacterial small subunit ribosomal RNA", at positions 11 to 1035 of the family's 1533-position model. Lineage: Bacteria; Bacillati; Bacillota; Bacilli; Caryophanales; Staphylococcaceae. The record is from RNAcentral.
GUUUGAUCCCUGGCUCAGGAUGAACGCUGGCGGCGUGCCUAAUACAUGCAAGUCGAGCGAACAGAUAAGGAGCUUGCUCCUUUGACGUUAGCGGCGGACGGGUGAGUAACACGUGGGUAACCUACCUAUAAGACUGAACUCCGGGAAACCGGGGCUAAUGCCGGAUAACAUGUUGAACCGCAUGGUUCUACAGUGAAAGACGGUCUUGCUGUCACUUAUAGAUGGACCCGCGCCGUAUUAGCUAGUUGGUGGGGUAACGGCCUACCAAGGCGUACGUAGCCGACCUGAGAGGGUGAUCGGCCACACUGGAACUGAGACACGGUCCAGACUCCUACGGGAGGCAGCAGUAGGGAAUCUUCCGCAAUGGGCGAAAGCCUGACGGAGCAACGCCGCGUGAGUGAUGAAGGUGGAUCGUAAAGCUCUGUUGUUAGGGAAGAACAAAUGUGUAAGUAACUGUGCACAUCUUGACGGUACCUAACCAGAAAGCCACGGCUAACUACGUGCCAGCAGCCGCGGUAAUACGUAGGUGGCAAGCGUUAUCCGGAUUGGGCGUAAAGCGCGCGUAGGCGGUUUUUUAAGUCUGAUGUGAAAGCCCACGGCUCAACCGUGGAGGGUCAUUGGAAACUGGAAAACUUGAGUGCAGAAGAGGAAAGUGGAAUUCCAUGUGUAGCGGUGAAAUGCAGAGAUAUGGAGGAACACCAGUGGCGAAGGCGGCUUUCUGGUCUGCAACUGACGCUGAUGUGCGAAAGGGGAUCAAACAGGAUUAGAUACCCUGGUAGUCCACGCCGUAAACGAUGAGUGCUAAGUGUUAGGGGGUUUCCGCCCCUUAGUGCUGCAGCUAACGCAUUAAGCACUCCGCCUGGGGAGUACGGUCGCAAGACUGACAAAGGAAUUGACGGGGACCCGCACAAGCGGUGGAGCAUGUGGUUUAAUUCGAAGCAACGCGAAGAACCUUACCAAAUCUUGACAUCCUUUGACCGCUCUAGAGAUAGAGUUUUCCUCUUCGGAGGACAAAGUGAC